Nycticebus coucang (slow loris) is the source of this 107-nucleotide small nuclear RNA. The record is from RefSeq and is a predicted model, not a curated record. NCBI's taxonomy places the organism in Eukaryota, Metazoa, Chordata, Mammalia, Primates, Lorisidae.
GUGCUUACUUCAGUAGCAUGUAUACUAAAAUUGGAAUGACACAGAGAAAAUUAGCAUGGCUCCUCCACAAGGAUGACAUGAAAAUUCUUGAAGCAUUCCAUAUUUUU